UGGGGAAUAUUGCACAAUGGGCGCAAGCCUGAUGCAGCGACGCCGCGUGCGGGAUGGAGGGCCCUUCGGGUUGUUAAACCGCUUUUGUUUCAAGGGCAAGGCAGGCUUUCGGGCCUGUUGAGUGGAUUGUUGGAAUAAGCACCGGCUAACUACGUGCC
RNAcentral lists this ribosomal RNA (158 nucleotides) under uncultured bacterium. Its description in RNAcentral is "partial 16S ribosomal RNA". It matches the Rfam family "Bacterial small subunit ribosomal RNA", at positions 355 to 509 of the family's 1533-position model. The record is from RNAcentral.